GAGGCGGCGAUUUUGGUUAAAAUAUCGAACGGAAGAGUGGAAAAGUCGCGAAAAUCGGAGGAAGAAGAUGAUCUUGCUGAUCUAGAAUUAGAUGGGAUUGUAGUGGAAUGGAAAGCCAGAGAUUUGAUGUUGGGUAAAGGAAGAGAUUUAAAUCGACAUGCAUCAGAUCGAGUAGGCCAUGUUCUUUGCUUCAUCUUCGUUUGCUUCCCUUUCACGUGGAAGGGAAGAGAGGGCAGCGAAGUGACGACGGUGGGGGAGACGGCG
This 264-nucleotide unclassified non-coding RNA is filed under the name Hevea brasiliensis (rubber tree). Lineage: Eukaryota; Viridiplantae; Streptophyta; Magnoliopsida; Malpighiales; Euphorbiaceae. The record is from RNAcentral.